This 749-nucleotide long non-coding RNA is filed under the name Linum usitatissimum (flax). RNAcentral describes it as "long non-coding RNA (LUSI_LNC003115)". Lineage: Eukaryota; Viridiplantae; Streptophyta; Magnoliopsida; Malpighiales; Linaceae. The record is from RNAcentral.
UUUUACUUUUUCAUACACAUCCCAAUCAAUUGAUAGAAAGCAAAAGAUCCAUUUAUGGCACGUAGACCUCUCAGCAGUAAGGCUGCUAGGUGUACCUUCUUCUCUAUGCUAGCGUUUCUUUGAUGGUCUGCCCACUAAGGGCAAGCAGCGGUUGAAGCGGGCAUUGGCUUUUUGAUAAGCUACUUCCCUUCUUCCGGUCUUUGCAUCUAUUUCCGCAAGAGAGGUUCUUUCUUUAAUUUGAUGGCCCACUGCGGACAGUUGGUAAGCAGGCUAAGACAGUCUCCCUUGUGGGUAGAACUAGCCUACUAUAAGCCUAAAGCAGAUAGAUGAGCCGAUCUGCUACAAUUGUCACUCAAUUUGAUCAAAGAAAAUAGAAUCAUAUGUAAUCCAGAGCUUGCAAGGGAUUCUUGCCUUGUCCAUUCAAUCACUAAUUUCGUAGAAAGCUGAACUCUAUAAAGGUACUCUUGGAUAGCUUUACCUUCCUAUGAAAGAGUUGAGAUGUAAGGGAGAAAGAAAUGUGUCCAAAUUGAGCUUUACAGUACUCAACUUGUCCUUUUGAACGAAAGUAGGAGAUGCAAUACCAUGUCUGACUUUAAAUCUUAGGAACUAAGGUGAGAUAGGGCCAUCACAGCUUAAUCUCUCACUCGAAACUCCAAAUGAACGAAUUUUCAUUUUAUCUUCUCAGGCAUUCCUUUUACUCACUUUCAACGGUAGAUUCGUUCUCCCUUUCUACAUUCGUUUGUACUUUU